RNAcentral lists this ribosomal RNA (490 nucleotides) under uncultured bacterium. RNAcentral's name for it is "partial 16S ribosomal RNA". It matches the Rfam family "Bacterial small subunit ribosomal RNA", at positions 30 to 507 of the family's 1533-position model. The record is from RNAcentral.
AUUGAACGCUGGCGGCAGGCCUAACACAUGCAAGUCGAACGGUAACAGGAAGAAGCUUGCUUCUUUGCUGACGAGUGGCGGACGGGUGAGUAAUGUCUGGGAAACUGCCUGAUGGAGGGGGAUAACUACUGGAAACGGUAGCUAAUACCGCAUAACGUCGCAAGACCAAAGAGGGGGACCUUCGGGCCUCUUGCCAUCGGAUGUGCCCAGAUGGGAUUAGCUAGUAGGUGGGGUAACGGCUCACCUAGGCGACGAUCCCUAGCUGGUCUGAGAGGAUGGCCAGCCACACUGGAACUGAGACACGGUCCAGACUCCUACGGGAGGCAGCCGUGGGGAAUAUUGCACAAUGGGCGCAAGCCUGAUGCAGCCAUGCCGCGUGUAUGAAGAAGGCCUUCGGGUUGUAAAGUACUUUCAGCGGGGAGGAAGGGAGUAAAGUUAAUACCUUUGCUCAUUGACGUUACCCGCAGAAGAAGCACCGGCUAACUCCGUG